This 72-nucleotide transfer RNA is filed under the name Pteropus alecto (black flying fox). It matches the Rfam family "tRNA". Rfam says of the family: Transfer RNA (tRNA) molecules are approximately 80 nucleotides in length. Lineage: Eukaryota; Metazoa; Chordata; Mammalia; Chiroptera; Pteropodidae. The record is from Rfam by way of RNAcentral.
GGUUCCAUAGUGUAGCGGUUAGCAUGUCUGCUUUAUACGCAGAAGGUCUCAGUUUGUGCGCCAGUGGAGCCA